AGAACAGAGCAGUUUGAAUGUAUACCAGGUGGCUUCUUUUGUGGUGUUCCCUUAUGAAUAUUUACAUUGAAAUAUUGAUCCUAAGAACAUGAGACAGUAGUACCUUAUGUGACAUCUGUGUCUUCUGUUUCCCAGGUGUUGCACAGAAAGAUGGAAAGUUGUCUCCUUUCAGCUCAGCGGCUGGAAAAAAAAAACAACCAAAAAAACCCAACGACCACAAGGAAAUCAAUAAACACCUGUUAUUCCCAGAUCCGUAGUUACUUGGACUCAAAGGUGCCUGCAGGCAAAGUUAAAACAAAACCCCCGUGUCAAUUGAUGGUUAAGAUAACAGCUAUGUAAACCCAAAGAAUCCUGUUUGUUAGAGGAGUAUGAUCCGAAGCGAAGUAGAGAAUUCCCUUAUGACGGUCCUUAGACAUGGCUCAGCCAGCAGUCCCGGAGGCAGGCAGUGUUGGAGAGCCGUGCUGGAAGGGAGCAAACCGUGGCAGCGGUGGGCAUGGUGCACAGGUAACACACCUGGGCACAAUGUGCAUGUAACACCAGUGUGAACCUUGUCUCCUGGCCUCACUCGCAUUGUGAACUCAGCAGUGAUGUUUUAACUGCUUUAUUUUUAUUUCAGCAAUACUGUGCUACCACAAGAAACAGGGCUUCUGAAUAACUUGGUGUCUUACCCCGUUUUGUUUGCACUGGGCUAACAGCAAAGAUGUGGUCAUCGCUGUUUGCCAGCAAAGCAGUUUGCCAGCAGCCCCUGUGGUGAGCUGCCUGAGCACUGCACGCCUGCCAUCCCUGGCAGCAGACACGUGCCAAACCUACUCCAGGAUAUCAUCAAGGAGAUGGUCAGGAAAACCAGCAGUUCUGCAAUUUUAAAGAGAGUAAGAAACAGCGGUAGUCGAUUACAUCAUGUAAUUUUGCCUCUGUUGCUCUCUGGGUAGUGUCACUGCUGCGGCCAUCUGCCGUCAUUUCCUUCCCCCUUCCUUCUGCGUUGCACCAGACAUGAUGGAGUGCUGGCUUGGGCGUGGGAGGAGGGCAGAGGCACAGCUGGAGCUCUAAAACAUGAAAUAGUUAUCCCUUUUCCCCAUUGCUCAGCUCCUUCCUGGCCCUGUGGGUGCCCUCGCUCCUGGGGUGGCUCUGCUUGAGCCCACCUCCCCGGUGCUUGGCAAGCUGCUCCGAGCCUGAGGAGCACCAAAGCCAUGGGGUUGUGUCCCCCUGGGGAUGGAGUGAGCACCCCGCUAAUAGCUGUGGCAGUUCACCAGCCAAGGGAAACCCCUUCACUGGGGUGGCACUGAGGCUUGAUUAGAAGAAAACGAGUAAAGGAUUUUGUGUUGUUUUGGACUUUGGCAGAAGUUUAUUCUCAGUUUUGCUGCAGAUCCCCUUUUUAGCAAUUGCUUUUACAGUAUGUUGUCUGUAUUGUACAGGAAUGAAUGAAGUGGGCUAGGAGGGACUGUGCUGUUUUUUUCAUAGUC
RNAcentral lists this long non-coding RNA (1460 nucleotides) under Falco tinnunculus (common kestrel). RNAcentral's name for it is "lncRNA (ENSFTIG00000005450.1)". The record is from RNAcentral. Lineage: Eukaryota; Metazoa; Chordata; Aves; Falconiformes; Falconidae.